This 443-nucleotide ribosomal RNA is filed under the name uncultured Christensenellaceae bacterium. RNAcentral describes it as "bacterial SSU rRNA". It matches the Rfam family "Bacterial small subunit ribosomal RNA", at positions 338 to 795 of the family's 1533-position model. Lineage: Bacteria; Bacillati; Bacillota; Clostridia; Christensenellales; Christensenellaceae. The record is from RNAcentral.
CCUACGGGAGGCUGCAGUGGGGAAUAUUGGGCAAUGGAGGCAACUCUGACCCAGCAACGCCGCGUGAGGGAAGAAGGUUUUCGGAUUGUAAACCUCUGUCCUAGGGGACGAAGAAAGUGACGGUACCCUAGGAGGAAGCCCCGGCUAACUACGUGCCAGCAGCCGCGGUAAUACGUAGGGGGCAAGCGUUGUCCGGAAUUACUGGGCGUAAAGGGUGCGUAGGCGGUUUGGUAAGUUAGAUGUGAAAUCCCCGGGCUUAACUCGGGAGUUGCAUUUAAAACUGCUGAACUAGAGUGCAGGAGAGGAAAGCGGAAUUCCUAGUGUAGCGGUGAAAUGCGUAGAUAUUAGGAGGAACACCAGUGGCGAAGGCGGCUUUCUGGACUGUAACUGACGCUGAGGCACGAAAGCGUGGGGAGCGAACAGGAUUAGAUACCCCAGUAGUC